UGAAAGAAGAGGAGGAGUCUCUCAUCCCUUGUCCGGGACCCUGAUGGAGACCCCCGGGCCAUAGCCUAAACAUUUUUCAGUGACUCCUUGGGGCACAUCUAGAGCCAGGCCCCAUCUCCAGGCAGCCUGUGUUUCUGCAUGAUGCCACCAGCCUGGUCUGUGUGAAACUUGAGUUCUGCACCUGCUCUGUCACUGUUCAGCGGUCUUCCCAGAGGGCAUCGCAGUCACCAGGGCCUGGCAGAGCCCUGGAGGGGCCCAGCCUGACAGUGGUCUCUGACUCCUGCAUUAUUCAUGGGCCCCUGAGCAGAGCUGACUGCUGCCCUGCAGAGGGAUUGGUCUUUUUUUUUUCUUGGUACUGAGGAUUGAACCCAGGGGUGCUUCACCCCUGAGCCACAUCCCCCGCCCUUUCUACUGUUUAUUUUUUAUGUUGAGACAGGGUAUCGAUAAGUUGCUUAGGGCCUCGUUAAGUUUCGGGGGCUGGUUUUGAACUUAUGAUCCUCCUGUCUCAGCCUCCCAAGCGGCUGGGGCUCUAGGCAUGAGCCAUUUGUGCUCGGCUCUUCUUUUAACUUCAUUUUACCUUCUGUUGUGGAAAAGGACACACAACAUAUUAUUUGCCACUUUAAACAUUUUCAGUGUACAGUUCGGUGACUAUACGUACAUUCACAUCUUCUGCAGCCACCACCACCGUCCGUCUACAGGACUUUUUAAAAAAUUCCAAACUGGGGAGGAAGAGCAAGAGGAAAAGAUUAACAUUAAACAGAGACAUGAGGUGGGAGGGAAAGGGAGAGAAAAGGGAAAUUGCAUGGAAAUGGAAGGAGACCCUCAUUGUUAUACAAAAUUACAUAUAAGAGGUUGUGAGGGGAAAGGAAAAAAAAGGGAGAGAAUUAAAUUACAGCAGAUGGG
This 903-nucleotide long non-coding RNA is filed under the name Marmota monax (woodchuck). Lineage: Eukaryota; Metazoa; Chordata; Mammalia; Rodentia; Sciuridae. The record is from RNAcentral.